RNAcentral lists this ribosomal RNA (480 nucleotides) under uncultured bacterium. RNAcentral describes it as "bacterial SSU rRNA". It matches the Rfam family "Bacterial small subunit ribosomal RNA", at positions 30 to 506 of the family's 1533-position model. The record is from RNAcentral.
UUGAACGCUGGCGGCAUGCCUUACACAUGCAAGUCGAACGGUAACAGGUCUUCGGAUGCUGACGAGUGGCGAACGGGUGAGUAAUACAUCGGAACGUGCCCGAUCGUGGGGGAUAACGCAGCGAAAGCUGUGCUAAUACCGCAUACGAUCUACGGAUGAAAGCGGGGGAUCGCAAGACCUCGCGCGGACGGAGCGGCCGAUGGCAGAUUAGGUAGUUGGUGGGAUAAAGGCCUACCAAGGCGACGAUCGAUAGCUGGUCUGAGAGGACGACCAGCCACACUGGAACUGAGACACGGUCCAGACUCCUACGGGAGGCAGCAGUGGGGAAUUUUGGACAAUGGGGGCAACCCUGAUCCAGCCAUUCCGCGUGAGUGAAGAAGGCCUUCGGGUUGUAAAGCUCUUUCGGCAGGAACGAAACGGUAAGGGCUAAUAUCCUUUGCUAAUGACGGUACCUGAAGAAGAAGCACCGGCUAACUACGU